ACUGGGCAUGGUGGUGCAUGCCUUUAAACCCAGCUACUUGGGAGGCUGAGGCAGGAGGAUCAUAAGUUCAGGCCAGUUUCAGCAACUUACUGAGACCUUGUCUCAA
This 106-nucleotide small RNA is filed under the name Marmota monax (woodchuck). The record is from RNAcentral. Lineage: Eukaryota; Metazoa; Chordata; Mammalia; Rodentia; Sciuridae.